RNAcentral lists this unclassified non-coding RNA (176 nucleotides) under uncultured fungus. RNAcentral's name for it is "sequence contains ITS1, 5.8S rRNA gene". The record is from RNAcentral. RNAcentral also lists the same sequence under 1 other name. Lineage: Eukaryota; Fungi.
CCAAAAGAUAAUCUUUCACUCGAAAGAUCUUUUCCUUUGUGCUGGCUUUGACCGUAUGUAAUUUUGGGACUUAAACAUGGUAGCCUUUAUUGGUUUGCCGGUCCCAAAAACAAUAUAUCAUCCUUAUGAAAAACUUACUGAACAACUAAACAAUGAUUUUAAUAAUCUGUUUAAAA